RNAcentral lists this ribosomal RNA (460 nucleotides) under uncultured bacterium. Its description in RNAcentral is "partial 16S ribosomal RNA". It matches the Rfam family "Bacterial small subunit ribosomal RNA", at positions 338 to 795 of the family's 1533-position model. The record is from RNAcentral.
CCUACGGGAGGCAGCAGUGAGGAAUAUUGGUCAAUGGACGAGAGUCUGAACCAGCCAAGUAGCGUGAAGGAUGACUGCCCUAUGGGUUGUAAACUUCUUUUAUAUGGGAAUAAAAUGUUCCACGUGUGGGAUUUUGUAUGUACCAUAUGAAUAAGGAUCGGCUAACUCCGUGCCAGCAGCCGCGGUAAUACGGAGGAUCCGAGCGUUAUCCGGAUUUAUUGGGUUUAAAGGGAGCGUAGGUGGAUUGUUAAGUCAGUUGUAAAAGUUUGCGGCUCAACCGUAAAAUUGCAGUUGAAACUGGCAGUCUUGAGUACAGUAGAGGUGGGCGGAAUUCGUGGUGUAGCGGUGAAAUGCUUAGAUAUCACGAAGAACUCCGAUUGCGAAGGCAGCUUACUAAACUGCCACUGACAUUGAUGCUCGAAAGUGUGGGUAUCAAACAGGAUUAGAUACCCUGGUAGUC